GGGAAUUGAACUCAGGACCUCUGCAAGAGUAGAAGUGUUCUUAACCUCCGAGCCAUCCUCUAGGCCUUGAAGUGAAAAACUGGGCUGUAGGAAUGAUAAUAAUCCUACGGUGCAAUAAAAUCAACUAAGCUGAAAUGAUGUUAAAGUCCGUACUUUGCUGCUCUUCCAGAAGACCCAGGUUCUAUUUCCAGCUCAUGACCACCUGUAACUCCAGUCUAUGGAAUCUGAUGCCCCUUUCUGGCCUCCAUGGGUACCAGGCACACAGGUACCUCUCUCUAUAUAUAAGGACAUAUAUAGAGAGGCAAAUCGCAAAUACACAUACUUUUUUUAUUAUUAAGGUUUACUAAUUUUAUUCAUUAUCCCACUAAGAACUACAAUUAGCUCUGAAGUCUAGAGCUUUCCUUGUCCCCAACAAAGAGACCCCAAGCUGCAACUCCAAGGGACAAACAGGCCAGCAUUUUGACGUGUUUGGGAAACCUCUGCUAAAGUUCACACCACUCACCGACCUUCCUGCCCAGUGUGCCCAUCAUGACGCCCCCCCCCCCCAUCCAGGAAAAAAAAAAGAACCUCUCCAUUUCUCAUUCUUUCUGAGCUCUUGUCAGUAAAUGACACAGGUAUAUUAGUCAGAAAAACAACCUACACCCUGGGCCAUUCCGGCAUCUCCAAACUCAACAGUCAUUCAGGAGCAUUGCCUGUUUCUAUGUUAGCAAAAAUAAUAAAAGAAAGUUUCCAAAUGUGGCCAUGGUUAUCUCUCAAAAGAAAUGCCCCAUUUAAGAAAAAUGCAGAAAAAUGUUCUGAUGUGCUAUUUAUAGAUUAAACCUCUGCUCCUUCCCCACCUUACACUUCUUUAAGUGACAAAAGAUUUGAAAUGCCCCUCUAAUGAAAAUAUUUCUCCCUGCCUGCCCAGGAUUCUUAGCUCUAGAUGUGCAUUACCAGGUUUGGUUCUGCGAAAGAAGAAGUCGUUGCAGAAAGCAGCUGCCCCCCAGACAAUGAAGUUACCCGCACUCAAGCAUUUCCAGUGGGCAGGGACAAUGCUGGCAGAAUUCUCAACCUGUUGCUAUAGUAGCAGGAAGAAUGUGAUUCGGGCAGCUCUGUGGAGAUCCAGAUCCAAAUCCCUGCAGCUCCCAGAGAGAACAUUAACCCUUCCCUGCCCCUGCGCAGGGGCAGAAAUACUUGGGAAGAACCCUGCUUACCUGAGUGCGGUCCUCUUGGCAUCUCAUCAUGCCACCCACCCAGUGCCCGCCGGGUUACACAUCCUUAUGUGGGUCCUGUGUUUUCAUGGAAAACAGGCUAGGCCUGGCCUUUGGUGUUAAGCAUGAAGGAGGAGGUGGAGGUUAAGUUAUUGCUAAAACCACAACACAUUAUGCAGUAUCGGCAAAGGCAACACCAGAGAACAGUCUAUGCGAGAUGAUCAUCGCAGUCUCCAUUAGUUAACAGUAGAUGCUGUAUGCGCUGGGCGAGGGCAAUGGUUUGAUAACUUGCCAGCUUUCAUUCGACAAACAACAACACUAGAAAUUUCCACUCCAAAGCUCUCAUGCCUCCCACAAAUUAGUUUAAACACAUCAUUUAUUUAAAUGAAGCUUUUGAUUUACAACAUUAAUAAAAUUGAAGUUAUGAUGUAACGACAAAAAAUAACUUUAUGGUGGUGGUGGGGGGGGUCACCACAACAUGAACUGUAUUAAAGGGUCCUAGCAUUAGGAAGGUUGAGAGCCAGUCACUGUCCUAGAGAAUGGUGUCACACAAUCGUUGAACCUGAGGCCAUGUCCCUCAUUUAUAGUCCCCGGCAACAGAAACGCCAGGUAGUUCUCUGAAAAUACACAAAAAAGCCGUGUCCAGGCCCUCUGAAAUAGUUCCCACACCCCAGGUCAUUUCUGGGGUCAAGGUACCAGCUUUAGAAAACACACCUUAGAGAUGGCCUAAGUCUAAUCCAGCCUUCUUUCCUUACACUGUGAGUGGAAAUCUCAUGUUGUCAGACACACCUCCUUGCUCAACUUCCUCAUUUCCCAUGGAGCCCAGACAUGGGAAAUUGGAGUUUCUCAGGAGGCUAGACGCCAUAGUAGGUAAUGCUAUCCCUUAAGCUAUCGGUGACAGGACAGCAGCAAUCAGACUGCCAAGCAAAAGAGCUGAGAGGAGAGGGGAUUGGGGGACUGUUUGCUGGGUGAGCAAAAGAAGAGCUUUGAUUCCUGUCAGAGGCCUUGUCUCAAAAACUAAGGUGGAGUGGAACAAGCCAUCCCUUGGGAGGCAGAGGCAGAUCUCUGUGAGUUCAGUGCCAGCUAGAGCUACAUAGUGAGACACUGCUCCGAGCUGACUACUACAUGAUAUCCUUUGCAUCUUAGUUGUGCUGGCCUGUGAGGUAAAUCUGACAAAACACAUGGAAGCAAAAGCACAGAAUGUCACAGGCGAAGCUUACCGGCUAGCAGCCUGAACCAAAAUCCUCGGGCCAAGGACCUCAUCUGGUAGCCAACUCGGAGAAGGGUCUAACUAUGUCGCUAUAGCUGGCAUUGGACCACUGAUCUCCUACCUCAACUGGAGGCUCAGGCUACCGUUAAAGACGGGGAGAUUGGCUCCCAGGAAAGGACACUCAUCCAAACAUCUUAACCAUAGUGUCUGAGUCGGGAUCUGGUGAAAGAGCCCAAGAACCAGGGUAGAUAGAAACUGGUCACUUUUUACCCAGACAUAACAAAAAUGACGAGGAAGGAAUGUCAUAGGACCUGGGGUAAUGAUGUCACCUCCUGCUACUCUCCUGGAGUUGGAGAAGAGACAGCUAAAGGAAUGACCUGCACACUUAUGACUGAGAAGACAAUGAGGGUGGAGAUGGAGGCAUUCCAUAGAGAUUUCAGCCAGUUCUCUGCAGCACUCCUUUCUUAUGAAAGCUCAUCUGAAAGACAGAUCCCAAUGGAGUCUGAUGUGACUUCCAUGUUACCAGGAGUAAGAAGAUUCGCUCCAAAGGCGGACCUUGGCUGCCUCUUGGCUGCCAGGGGAUUCAACAAUGGCUCCUUGAUCCUUUCCAAAGAAGGAAAUGGUAUGGUUUCUUCACAUGCCCUUUCCCCACAGAAGGUUGAGGAAAUGGGUAUUAUUGUAUGCCACAGGGAUCCGUCAGUUUGUGUGCUUGUGCGUAUGUGUGUGUGUGUGUUUUAUAUCUAUCUAUCUAUCUAUCUAUCUAUCUAUCUAUCUAUCUAUCUAUCUAUUGUGCGUAUGUGUGUGUGUGUGUUUUAUAUCUAUCUAUCUAUCUAUCUAUCUAUCUAUCUAUCUAUAUGUCUAUGUAUAUAUUUGAGUCAGUGUUUCUUUAUGUAGCCCUGGAACUUGUUAUGUAGACAAGACUGGCCUCAAACUCACAGGUAGCUGCGAUUAAAUAUGGGAUUAAAGGUAUACCUAGCCUGUAGUUGUUUGUGGCAACAACUGGUAUAUCCAGCACAGUAAGAGUCCACCUGUAGUUAAGAGAUAAAUAGUGUUUGCUUUUCCUUAGCAUGUAAUAAAAAUAAGAGAGCUUGAUAGUUCUCCUCACUAUACCAUAGAUCUAGACUCCUAUUCCCUUCUUAAUGCCAAACAUUCCUGUGACCUCAGCUCCAGGGAACACAGGGGAAAUAUUACACAGGGGAAAUAUUACUCAGGGGAAAUAUUACACAGGGGAAAUAUUACACAGGGGAAAUAUUACACAGGGGAAAUAUACACAACUCUAAUUAUCAAUCUGGAUCUGUGAUUUUUUUUUCCCAUCAAGCAUCAGGGCCAAUGUGCUUUCCCUGAAGACAACAAUAAAGUACAUUUCUAUAGCUAAAAUUAGAGUCACUAUCAGAGUUGGAAACACCAAAUGCCACUGUCUUAAGUACUGGACAAACUGGAAUUAUUGUAUUUGCAGUAAUGACAAGCCAGUGGAUUGGCAAAACCACACAGUCACAGGCUUUUAAUCUUGAUCAAGCACCAGAACUUUGUGAUCUUCAGAUUCUAAGUCCCCAACAAAUAACUGACGAAAUACCCUAACACAAGAUACAGGCCCAUACUGUUAAAACCAUCAUGGUAAUGGGGACACUCAAAUUGAGGACGCCUCACCCAUCACCAAGGUAACAGAAUCCCAUACGCUGACCAAAUCAAUUCUAUGAUGACAUCAGUUGACACAAAAUUGUGUGCAGGAACCAGGAGCAGGUAGACCAAAUGUAUCCAUUAGCUGUGAGUUACAUAACAAAUCAAUCUAAAUUCUAGUUUAAAACAAAAAGCCCUCGUUGUUGGUCAUGGGUCUGUGGGGGUGGGGGAUGGGGAAUAGGUCUGUCUGAUCUGUGCUGGGCCAAUUCAAGUGUCUGGACAGAUGGCUAGUACAAUCCCAUCAGCUGGUUGAAGGGCAUCACUGAGCCUCUGUAAGCCAUUCAUGGAAUGUCUAUUCCAAGAGAGCAAGCACAUGUGUAUGACGUCUCCCAAGAUCUGGACUAAGGAACACACUUUUACUUCUGCAUUUCUAUUGGCCAAAGCAGGUCAAAAUAGUCAUAUGCAUGAAAUAUUCUUUUUGCUGGGCAGCUGUGGUGCACACCUUCAAUCCCAGCACUCACACGGAUCUCUGUGAGUUCAAGGCCAGCCUGGUCUAAAGAGUAAGUACCAGGACAGCCAGGACUAUACAGAGAAACCCUGUCUCAGAAAAACCAACCCCUCCCCCAGACCCCCAAAAGCUUAAUCCCUCUUCCUGCCUCUGCCUGUGCUUUGCAUAUGCAUGCUCACACCUUAUGCAUGCCCACACCUUAUGCAUGCUCACACCAUAUGCAUGCUCACACCAUACGCAUGCUCACACCAUAUGCAUGCUCACACCUUAAAAGCUUUAUGAUCUCAGCCUUGCACCAAAUAAGAGCCAUCUGGCUGCACCUGAAGAUGUGCCUGACCCGAGGGUGUAGUCAGGGCAAACCUCUCUCCCCACUGUCUCUUCUUAGCUUGGGAUGUGAAUACAGACCAUAGGCUGACAGUUAGUUAUUCUACUUUAGCGGAGGGCUGCUGGCUCCACUAGUUGGCUUCUUCACACUAUCUCUGCUUCCUCCUCCUUUGCCCCACUGCCACCACUUAGGAAACAGGCAAAAGCUGCCUGGACUGCAUCUGCCAACUGCUUUUCCAGAUCUAGGUUCCGACAUGUAUGCGGCCGCAGUUAUUAUAUCGCAUCCCACAAACUAAGGCGCGGCUUCUGCUUUGUUUGGCUUUAGAAUAAUCACCAUGACCUUUUGGAGAGUGUCACUCUCCACUGCCACUGGGAUGCUUUAAAUACCUACUUGUGAGGUCUGGACAGCAUGGGGUGGGAGAAGAAGAGAAUUCCAGAAACCAGAACAACAGCACAAUAGAGGAGACAGCUCUACUAGGAAAUGCCUGAAGGCUCCUCGGAGGGAAUUCCUCAAGUGGGAAGGGGGAGCACGUAACCCAGCUGCCUUGAGCGAAUCGCCUGACUCUGACUUAUUAACGUAAGCCUAGUUUUCACCUGCCGGAUAGGGUCAAUGCUUAUCAUACCAAGCACCGAGAGUGCGACACACCAGAGGAUUAUAAGAGAUGGGGAGAUCACCAUGAAGAAGCCUUGGGAAAGCCAAAUAAUCAAGCACUGCAUCCUAUUUGUUUCAAUCCAAAAGCCUGGGUCACUAAAGCACCAACAGGAAGAGUCAACUACUCUCUUCCAAAACGCAUUCUGUCCCAGAGUUCCGGGUCUGGAAGAGAGGCAGGUUUGACAGGGAGAGUGAUGUAAUUUUACCAGAAGGUGAAGUACCCAGUGUGUGAAUGCUUAACAGAGCCAGAAAGGCUCUCAGUGCUAAGCGCCGUCUGGGUUGGCUUGGUACUCGUCCAUUUGGCUCUUUGUCAUAAUUGGACAGUCAUGGAUUUAAACUUGUAAUUUCCAGGUAAAACCACUCCGCCACAGGGUUUCUCACUUCCGCUUCUCAACCACUUGGCGUGGAAACAAGUGCCAUCCUUGGAUCAGAAGGUGAAGAGCUGGCUGACAGGCACUCAAUCACCCUCAGCUUUUAAUUAGCCGAAGGGAAGCCACGUGGAUAAGGAAGCAAACAUCUGGCAUUAUCACCCCAGGAACACCGAUAAUGACAAUGAAGGCAGGCUACCAACUCUUCAGCAGAAGGCACACAGAACUUCCUGCAGACAGGCGUGGGGGGUGGGGUAGAGCAUGAGGAGGCCAUUCAUCCAGCUCCCCUCCCCCUCUGCUCUCACGAACCAACUGUAGGCUCAAAUGCUCUCUCUCCCGGCCUCAUUUGUUUGCUCGUUUUGUUUUUGGCUGCUCAUUGCUGCUCAAAAAACCCAGGUGUAGGGUAGGGGCAGCUGCUUUGGACAGAGAAUGCCAGUGCUGCCUGCACCAAGAUGCAGUGGAGAGGCACCAGACAUCCACAAGGUUCACGCAAGGUGCUUCAGCUUAGGACAAUUUCUAUCACAGUUUCUGUUCUGCUUGCCUCUCAGCUUCGUGUCUUUCCACUCUAAUGCAAUCAUGAGAUAAUUCCUCGGGGCUGUUGAGAGCAUAGCGAGUCUCAAAUAGGCGAUGCUGGUGUGAUCGGGUUAACUUCGCCCACCGAUUUAUCUUGCCUUUCACACAGUGUUCUUUUAUUUUCUUCUUCCAGGUAUGAGUUGAGGCUGGACCAGGAACCAGAGGCAGCAGUUUUAUUCCUUCGAAUGCCAGUGCAUUCUAUGGCUUGUUUUCAGAAUCUCUGAAGCAAGGCUGGCUAACAAUGCACUACUUGAUUGCUCUGACUGACUCUCACCCACAGCAUUGAGACAGAGGAGCCCUUAGCCAGGGCUCCACACAAGAAACCUGUUUCCCAGCCUCCUCCAUUUGUCUGACGACCCUUUCCUCAGAGUCCCCAGCAUACAGUACAAAGAUCUCCGUUUUCUCCCUUAAAUAUCACAGGAGGCCCACAUCAAACGCCAGACCUCUUUCUUCCUGGAAUGCUGCCAAUUUAAUCUAAUAUGUCCAGGCUCACAUAAAUUUAAUUAAACUCACUUAUCUUUUAAGUCCCCCACCCCAAACACCACCUCUUGUCACCUCUCCACAGUAAAAGCUUUUAAAAUGGGAUUUUCUCUUUGCUUUUCAGCCAAAAUGUCAUGCAGGUUUACUUUAAAGCUACAGCAAUCAGAUGUAUACUACAACUAGUCAGUAGGGCCCAUGUAUUAAAAUGCCCACAAGCCCUUAACACCUUUUUUUCUCAAACCCUAUUUGGUUACUUGGUGAGCAAUUGGGGGGUUGAAGUGAAGGGAAGUGGGGAGGUGGGCGUGAAGUUUGGCAUGGAGGGCCUCCCCAAGGCCAAAAGGGUAAGUUAUGCCAAUCAGAAGUCAUGAGUGUCUUAAAUUUUGCUUUAAGCCAGGCUAUCAGGUUACAAGUUCUAAUGAACUGCUCCCGAGAAAGACAUUUCUUUGUCUCAGGACCACUGAGAACUAGCCAAACAGAGCACCUCUCAGAAACUCUCCCACCUCACCACAAUGGAACAGGAAAGCCAACAGGAGAGCAAACGAGGUCCGUGAAGAGACUCCGUUGCGAGUAGCUCUUACCAAGUUAUCAACACCGAAUCAACAAGAAAGUGAAUGGUUACCCUGGGGCAGAAGCCGGAAGAGCCCAGAUCGAGAGAACCAGACGUACUUCUAAAAUAAUCUGUAGGCUCAAUUUUAGAGAAAUGGUUUGCUCAGCUGUCUCCCACAGCCUAUGGACUAUAUUUUGUAUAAGAUGCACAUUAUUGAGACAGACUUCUAUAAGGGAAAAGCCGGAGCCACAUGGUAAGUGGAGUAACUUACCUGGUAGCCUAGUGGAGGGUAGAUCCUGAAAGGAAGUCUUUCUCAGACAGAAGGAGUGCAUUGUGACUUGUCUGUCAGGGUCCUUGUGGGUGUGCAGAAACAAAAACAGUCCCGGGGACUCAAAGAAGAUGAAGGGGAACUCUAGGGAGCCCAGUCUCUCUCUACACUUACCAGAUCUUCCUCUCUCUUAACCCUAAGAUGCUCUUAGUGGGGAGGUACAUCUUCCUUCCCAGAUGGGCUCACUGAAGCUCCUGCUGAGCCAGCCACUGAGUAAAAAGCACAGAUUUUGGACCCAGGUUUGCCAGAAUUUAAGACUUCUUACUGUCCCAGAACACUACCAAGCAUGUCUGCACUACAUUAAACAAAACACUUUCACGUUACCUAAGACCAAGACACCUUUUCUCAAAUGGUAUAGCUUUUCCAUAACUGAUAUUUCAUGAGAUAAAGUCUAUGGGACAAAAGUGGAAAAAACUUUCUUUCUUGUAGCUUCUCAACACUUUUAACAAGCUAAGGUAAGGUGUGGGGACUCGUGCCUGAACUCACAGCACUCUCUCAGGCAGGGGGAUGGCCAACAAUCUGAUGCUUGCCUAGUAGGGUCCUAUCUCAAUAAAGACAUAAAGUGGAUGGGUGGUAAUAUGAGCAGAGGCAGACAAAUCUCAAGGCCGGCCUUUUCUACAUAUCGAGUUCCAGACGAGGCAGGGCUACAAAGUGAGACUGUGCCUCAAAAACUCAGCAACUCAACUCAACUCAACUCAACUUUCAACUCAACUCUACUCAGCCAAAACCCAAAGACCCAUGGGAAGUGGGGACUCCACAGCUAAGAUGGAGGGCUGCUCUUGCAGAGGACCUGAGUUUACUUUCCAGAACCCUUGACACUGUAACUCCAGCUCAAGGGGACGCAACAAUCCCUUCAGCCUGCAAGGGCACACAUAUGGUAAAUAUUCACUCUGACACACACACACAGCUGAACAUUAAUCUUGAGAAUUCAUUUUUAAAAAAUGUCAAAAGCGGUCAGGUGGAGCUUUGUUUCCUAGUUUCAGCUCUCAUGGCUUCCUUUUCUUCAUGCUGGAUAACUGCAUUAAACUGUAAUUGAUGGUCAAAUUAUAAAAUGUGAAGUGUGCCAGGCAGUGGUGGCACAUGCUUUUAAUUCUGACACUUGGAGGCAUCUCUGUGAGUUCGAGGCCAGCCUGGUCUACAGGACAGCUAGGGCUAAAAAAAGAAACCUGGUCUUGAAAAUCCCCCACUCCACCCCCCAAAAAAAAAAAAAAAAUCUUUAAAAAGCUAAAACAUAUUGUGAAUCUGCAAGCAUGGAGUUUGUGUGUUUACCCUUUCUCAAAGGACUUUGGUUUUGGUUUUUGUUUGUUUCGUUUUGUUUUUGAUGAGAGGAGAUGGUUUAGACUCAGCAAACACUAAUAUGGAAGCAAAUUAUUGUAUUUUUCUCUCCGUCCUCAAAAUUUGUCUUUGAAUUUAUAAAAGAUUCCAUUAUGAAAACUUUCAAGUGAUGUAUGAGAAUAUAAAAUAAAGAGUGACUUCCCAUCCCUCCUCAAACCAGCCCCAUUCCUCAAAGGAAAGCACCACUAGCAAUUUCCUAGGUUUCUGGCCACAGUGAAUACACUUUUUAAAAUAACACACCCUGGCUAAAGUAUACCCCUGACGUGCUAGUCGGCACAUUUUUUUUUAAACUUAAUGAUAUAGAAGAAUAUUUUCCAUAUCAGCAUAUUGAACUGUUAUUAGCACACCACAGUCAAGAAAAAUCAAGGUAGGUCAGGGUUGGGGGAUGCUCAACGGACGAACACCUGUCUGGCAAGUGCACAAGCCCAGAGUUUGAUCCCCAGCAAUGGAAGGAGGAAAGGAAAAUAAGGGGAACCUGAAACCUGGGGUUACUACAUUUUUUUAAUAUAUAACUUUUUUAAUUAAAAGUACGUUAAGCUGGACAGUGGUGGCGUACACCUUUAAUCCCAGCACUUGGGAGGUAGAGGCAGGUGGAUCUUGAGUUCGAGGACAGCCAGGGCUAUACAGAGAAACCCUGUCUCGAAACAAACAAACCAACAAACAAAAAGUAUGUUAAAAGUAUGGCUAUGUUGGCUUCCCAUACCAGUCUUGGUUUAGCCUCCACUUGAAUCUUAUGUGUAGAACUGGGAGGUUGGGGGGGUGGGGGGGGAGAGCGAUGGGAUUUCUCAACCUGUGGGCCAUGACUCCUUGGGAUAAUGGACUCAUUUACAGGGGAUACCUAAGACCUUCAGAAAACACAUUUACACCAUGAUUCAUAACAGUAGCAAAAUUACAGUUAUAAAGUAGCAAUGACCAUAACCUUAUGGUUGGGGUGGGGGUUUACCACAACAUGAAGAACUGUAUUAAAGGGCUGCAGGAUUAGGAAGGUUGAGAGCCACUGCUCUAGGAUCGACCUCACUAUAAAGUACAAUGUACCAAUGGUACGACAGUAGCACAAACCAACACUCCCUGAGCGUUCACCAUCUACUCCAUGCCUUUAAAGUUCUUUUUACAUAUUGGCUUAGCCCUUUUCUCCAGAACCCUGUGAAGCAGAGACUGGGGUCAGCUGUUUUGUCAAAGAACCCCAUGGAGGUGUGUUGCUAGCAAGUGGGAAGGGCGCAGGAAAUGUUGAAAACUGCUGUAUUAACAAAGAAAGAAAACAGUUUGGACGCCCCUGAUCUUGACAUAGGUUGUUCUUCAAGUAGGAUUGUGAACCUAUUUACCAAGAUAAACACUGUUAAAACAUUCUCGUCAAGGAUCUUAGCUUGCCAGGGAGCUGGAGAGAUGGCUCAGUGGUUAAGAGCACUGCUGCUCUUCCAGAGGUCCUGAGUUCAAUUCCCAGCAACCACAUGGUGGCUCACAACCAUCUGUAAUGGGAUCUGAUGUCCUCUUCUGGUGUAUCUAAAGACAUGACAGUGGACUCAUAUACUUAAAUAAAAUCUUUAAAAAAAAAAAGAUCUUAGCUUGCCUUUCUAUAAGUUCCAGACAUUAUCAAUAAAAUCUGUUU
Molecule: long non-coding RNA, 10738 nt
Organism: Mus musculus (house mouse)
Lineage: Eukaryota; Metazoa; Chordata; Mammalia; Rodentia; Muridae
Product: predicted gene, 16876
Exons: 2
Source: RefSeq, a predicted model, not a curated record